CUUUAACAAUCUGGAACAAGCUGAAAAUUGAAACACACAUUAUUGAAAAAUAGUGUGGGGAACUCUCAAAACUCCAAGUUGAAGUGUUAUGCAAAUAGGCAG
RNAcentral lists this small RNA (102 nucleotides) under Arsenophonus endosymbiont of Aleurodicus dugesii. Its description in RNAcentral is "Salmonella enterica Typhi npcRNA 44". It matches the Rfam family "Salmonella enterica Typhi npcRNA 44". The record is from Rfam by way of RNAcentral. Lineage: Bacteria; Pseudomonadati; Pseudomonadota; Gammaproteobacteria; Enterobacterales; Morganellaceae.